This 119-nucleotide ribosomal RNA is filed under the name Triticum aestivum (bread wheat). The record is from RNAcentral. Lineage: Eukaryota; Viridiplantae; Streptophyta; Magnoliopsida; Poales; Poaceae.
GGAUGCGAUCAUACCAGCACUAAAGCACCGGAUCCCAUCAGAACUCUGAAGUUAAGCGUGCUUGGGCGAGAGUAGUACUAGGAUGGGUGACCUCCUUGGAAGUCCUUGUGUUGCAUUCC